Long non-coding RNA from Loxodonta africana (African savanna elephant), 1652 nucleotides. RefSeq lists it as uncharacterized. NCBI's taxonomy places the organism in Eukaryota, Metazoa, Chordata, Mammalia, Proboscidea, Elephantidae. The transcript is spliced from 3 exons. The record is from RefSeq and is a predicted model, not a curated record.
UAUACUGAUAUUUAUUUAUUUGACUUAACUGCAGAGACCGAGUAUUGUAUUAGGCAAUAAUGGGUUUUCUGCCCAGCAUCCUAUCCCUACCAGCUCUCCCUCUGGCAGUCUUAAAUUUGUCUUCAAAUUUGCUUGAGCAGCCAGGAGUUUGGAAGGAGUUGGCUAUACCCCCAUUCCAGGGGAGGCUCUGAUUGGCCCAAAUUGAUAGGGUAAUCUCACCCCCUUGGUCAAUUGUCAAUUACGGGUUCAGGGAUUGGCACCUGAUAUAAACUGGUCUGAUCAAAGUGAAGCGAAAGACCUCUCCCUACUGGCUGGAGGAGAAAUGCAUUCUCCCCCUAGACUUAAACUUGGCAAUAUGGAGCCCAGCCUUCUGCCACUGGGCAUACUGAGGACAAAGCUGUCUCAGAGAAGGCCAGAGCUGAGAGAACCCCAGAAACAGGGCCUCAACAAAGCUUGAAUUUCCUCAGGAAUUUUCAGUUACAUGAGUAAUAUUGUCGUUGUUAUGUGCAUUCAAGUCAUCUUAACUCAUAGCCACCCCAGGAGACAUAGUAUAACUGCCCCAUAAGGUUUUGUUGGCUAUGAUCUUUAAAGGGGCAGGCUGCCAAGUCUUUUUCCCACAAAGCUGCUGGGCGGGUUCAAACUAUCAACCUUUGGGUUAGCAGCCGGGCGCUUAAUGUUUGCACCACCAGGGCUCCGUACAUGAGUAAUAAAGUGCCUUUAUUUUAUAAGCCAAAUUGACUUGGGUUUUUAAGUCCUUGUGACAGAAAACAUCCUAACACCAGCAUCCUCAGUCUAGGAGCCUUCUCACUAGGCAUUCUGGAGGGUUACAGAAAUGGAGACAAACAAAAACUGGGCAAAGAGUUUAACUUUCUGAAGGUCACAUAGCCGGUAUAAAAGAGAGAAGCAAGUAGAGAGACGUGGGGACCUCGUACCACCAAGAAAGCAGCGCCUGGAGCAGAGCGUAUCCCUUGGACCUGAGGUUCCUGCACUGAGUUGCUCCCAGACCAAGGGAAGGCUGAUGACAAUGACCUUCCUUCAGAACCGAAGGAGAGACGACUUCUCCUGGAGAUGGCACCCUGAAUUCGGGCUUAUAACCUACUAGACUGUGAAAGAAUAAAUUUCUCUUUGUUAAAGCCAUCCACUUGUGAUAUUUCUGUUACAGCGGCACUAGAUGACCAAGACACUCCCCUUUUCCAACUUGGGUUUCCCAUUACCAGCUUUCCUGUCCCCUUCUACCUUCUUGUCCUUGUCCCUGGGCUGGUGUGCCCAUUUAGUCUCACUUUGUUUCAUGGGCCUGUCUAAUCUUUGGCUGAAGGGUGAACCUCAGGAGUGACUUCAGUACUGAGCUAUAAGAGUGUCCAGGAGCCAUACUCUCGGGGUUUCUCUGGUCUCUGUCAGCCCAGGAAGUCUGUUUUGUGUGUGUGUGUGUGAGUUAGAAUUUUGUUCUACAUUUUUCUCCAGCUUUGUUCGGGACCCUCUAUUGUGAUACCUGUCAGAGCAGCUGGUGGUGGUAGCUGGGUACCAUGUAGUUGUGCCAGACUCAUUCUGGUGGAGGCUGUGGUAGUUGUGGUCCAUUAGUCCUUUGGGCUAAUCUUUCCUUUGUGUCUUUGGUUUUCUUCACUCUCCUUUACUCCAGAUGGGGUAAGACCAGU